Molecule: ribosomal RNA, 446 nt
Filed under: uncultured bacterium
Lineage: Bacteria
Description: partial 16S ribosomal RNA
Rfam family: Bacterial small subunit ribosomal RNA
Source: RNAcentral
CCUACGGGAGGCUGCAGUAGGGAAUUUUCGGCAAUGGGGGGAACCCUGACCGAGCAACGCCGCGUGAACGAAGAAGUUAUUCGUAAUGUAAAGUUCUUUUAACAGGGAAGAAAGAGAAAUUUGACGGUACCUGAAGAAUAAGCUCCGGCUAACUACGUGCCAGCAGCCGCGGUAAUACGUAGGGAGCGAGCGUUAUCCGGAAUUAUUGGGCGUAAGGGGUGCGUAGAUGGCAUAGUAAGUCUUUUGUAAAAAUCCUGGGCUCAACCCAGUAGGGCAAAAGAUACUGCAAAGCUAGAGUAUGACAGAGGCAAGUGGAACUACAUGUGUAGCGGUAAAAUGCGUAAAUAUAUGUAAGAACACCAGUGGCGAAGGCGGCUUGCUGGGUCGAUACUGACAUUGAGGCACGAAAGCGUGGGGAGCAAACAGGAUUAGAUACCCCUGUAGUC